GAAAAGAAACUAACAAGGAUUCCCCUAGUAACGGCGAGUGAAGCGGGAAGAGCUCAAAUUUGAAAUCUGGUAGCCUUCGGUUGCCCGAGUUGUAAUCUAGAGAAAUGUUUUCCGUGCCGGCCCAUGUACAAGUCCCUUGGAACAGGGCGUCAUAGAGGGUGAGAAUCCCGUCCUUGACAUGGACCCCCGGUGCUUUGUGAUACAUUUUCAACGAGUCGAGUUGUUUGGGAAUGCAGCUCAAAAUGGGUGGUGAAUUCCAUCUAAAGCUAAAUAUUGGCGAGAGACCGAUAGCGAACAAGUACCGUGAGGGAAAGAUGAAAAGCACUUUGGAAAGAGAGUUAAACAGUACGUGAAAUUGUUGAAAGGGAAACGAUUGAAGUCAGUCAUGCUCUUUGGUAUUUAUAUCAUUGAGUGGGGUCAACAUCAGUUUUGAUCGAUGGAUAAAGGCACUAGGAAUGUAGCACUCUCGGGUGAACUUAUAGCCUAGCGUCAUAUACAUUGAUUGGGACUGAGGAACGCAGCAUGCCUUUAUGGCCGGGAUUCGUCCACGUACAU
RNAcentral lists this ribosomal RNA (555 nucleotides) under Naganishia albidosimilis. RNAcentral describes it as "partial large subunit ribosomal RNA". It matches the Rfam family "Eukaryotic large subunit ribosomal RNA", at positions 56 to 614 of the family's 3401-position model. The record is from RNAcentral. Lineage: Eukaryota; Fungi; Basidiomycota; Tremellomycetes; Filobasidiales; Filobasidiaceae.